This 174-nucleotide ribosomal RNA is filed under the name uncultured bacterium. Its description in RNAcentral is "partial 16S ribosomal RNA". It matches the Rfam family "Bacterial small subunit ribosomal RNA", at positions 338 to 524 of the family's 1533-position model. The record is from RNAcentral.
CCUACGGGAGGCAGCAGUCGGGAAUUUUGCGCAAUGGACGAAAGUCUGACGCAGCAACGCCGCGUGAGGGAUGACGGCCUUCGGGUUGUAAACCUCUUUCAGCGGGGACGAAGGGCAACUGACGGUACCCGCAGAGGAAGCACCGGCUAACUACGUGCCAGCAGCCGCGGUAAU